GUAAGGAAUAUUGGACAAUGGGCGAAAGCCUGAUCCAGCCAUGCCGCGUGAGUGACGAAGGCCUUAGGGUUGUAAAGCUCUUUCAGCUGUGAAGAUAAUGACGGUAUCCGGAGAAGAAGCCCCGGCUAACUUCGUGCCAGCAGCCGCGGUAAUACGAAGGGGGCUAGCGUUGUUCGGAAUUACUGGGCGUAAAGCGCACGUAGGCGGACAUUUAAGUCAGGGGUGAAAUCCCGGGGCUCAACCCCGGAACUGCCUUUGAUACUGGGUGUCUGGAGUAUGGAAGAGGUAAGUGGAAUUCCGAGUGUAGAGGUGAAAUUCGUAGAUAUUCGGAGGAACACCAGUGGCGAAGGCGGCUUACUGGUCCAUUACUGACGCUGAGGUGCGAAAGCGUGGGGAGCAAACAGGAUUAGAUACCCCAGUAGUCC
Molecule: ribosomal RNA, 425 nt
Filed under: uncultured bacterium
Lineage: Bacteria
Description: partial 16S ribosomal RNA
Rfam family: Bacterial small subunit ribosomal RNA
Source: RNAcentral